Molecule: ribosomal RNA, 460 nt
Filed under: uncultured bacterium
Lineage: Bacteria
Description: partial 16S ribosomal RNA
Rfam family: Bacterial small subunit ribosomal RNA
Source: RNAcentral
CCUACGGGAGGCUGCAGUGAGGAAUAUUGGUCAAUGGACGAGAGUCUGAACCAGCCAAGUAGCGUGAAGGAUGACUGCCCUAUGGGUUGUAAACUUCUUUUAUAUGGGAAUAAAAUGUUCCACGUGUGGGAUUUUGUAUGUACCAUAUGAAUAAGGAUCGGCUAACUCCGUGCCAGCAGCCGCGGUAAUACGGAGGAUCCGAGCGUUAUCCGGAUUUAUUGGGUUUAAAGGGAGCGUAGGUGGAUUGUUAAGUCAGUUGUGAAAGUUUGCGGCUCAACCGUAAAAUUGCAGUUGAAACUGGCAGUCUUGAGUACAGUAGAGGUGGGCGGAAUGCGUGGUGUAGCGGUGAAAUGCUUAGAUAUCACGAAGAACUCCGAUUGCGAAGGCAGUUCACUGGACUGCAACUGACACUGAGGCUCGAAAGUGUGGGUAUCAAACAGUAUUAGAUACCCGGGUAGUC